RNAcentral lists this long non-coding RNA (275 nucleotides) under Lupinus angustifolius (narrow-leaved blue lupine). RNAcentral's name for it is "long non-coding RNA (LANG_LNC001401)". The record is from RNAcentral. Lineage: Eukaryota; Viridiplantae; Streptophyta; Magnoliopsida; Fabales; Fabaceae.
CUUGGCUUAGCUGGACAGCUUUGUGCUUGAUUUCUUCAUGGUGAAGCAACCUUUUUUCCUUUGGUUUGUUACUUGAUUUUUGUUGGUUGCUUGACACUUUUGCGUUGUUUUCUUUAAGUUAAGGUAAGCAUUUGAUUUUUUGCAAGUUGCUUGGCCUACUUUAACUUAGGUUUCUUCAAGACGAAGUAAGCUAUCUUCCUUCAAGGAUAUGUAACCAAAUUAAGCACAUAACAUGCCAUGCUUUAACUUGAUUAUUUUUAGCAAUUCAUUUUGAG